AUCCGAACAAAGAUUCUGAAUCUGAGUUUGAAACGGGAGACGUUGAAGGCAAAUUCAGGAUUUCUGGGGAUUUUUAAAGUCGUCUAGUCUUCCGGAUGUUAAUCGUAGAUGCUGUGAUUCCCUUUGACGUUUCGUCAGAUGGGAUUUCGAUAUUUAAAGCCAGAGCUCCCAACGUCCUUCCUGCUCUCUUCUGGAACUAUCCGCAUGGUUUCUUGGCCUCUGACCUUUAAAGUUCUCCUUCUGUUUUCCCUGUCACCCGAUCUUCAAGCCAUCAUUUCCAGUUGAAAGAGGACCAGUCUUCCAUUUUUGGUUAGUACAGAGGACAUCUUCAUAACUCCUUGAUUCAGACCCUGAAAGAGGGUCGUUUUGACUUGGAACAGAACUCGGGUUGUAUUAUUUUGGAUGUGUACAAUCAAGACAAGCUUAUGCAACACCGGACGAGGACAGCGGGACCCUCAAACUCACUUGGUUCUGUUGCAGUGAAAGAUUCAUGAACCUAAGCAUGCUUCUUGUUCUCUCUCUGUUCACGGCAAAAACAACUCCACCGUCGAGCAGCUUCAUCACUCAGCACAGCUAACAGGACUGUACUAACUGGACUCUCGAGAUAAACAAGCUGUCUGAACGGUGAGGAUUGUUUAGUAAGAGUGACAGAACUGGACCAGGCGGACAGAAGGGUGCAGGGGGAGAGGACGGGGACCCAGGCCGCGUGGGGCUUCCAGCGGUUCUUUCAGGUCCUGCAGGGAUGGAUGCUAUGGCAGAAUAAAAAACAGGACGGGGAGUUUCUGCUGUCCCACUGGUACAAUGCAUGCAGGCGUGGCGCCCCCUGGAGGUGGGGAUCAGUGAUAUUAAACAUGCUCCCCCAUGGCCAUCAUCACAGGUGUCGAGCCAUCGCGGAGGAGCCAGAGAACGACCGUGAGGAGAGGAUUCUGGCAAUAUUGGGGAUCAUCGGCACGGUGCUCAACCUGCUGGUGGUCAUCUUCGUCUACAUCUACACCACCUUCUAAGAUCUUAAGGGACAGGAUUCCCUCAUCUGAAGAAAUGGCAGUUAAGCAGAGGAGAACAGACUGGCAUCAUUUUUCAUCACCAAAAACCAUCAAGCAGUGCCUGACCUAUUCAAUCAGUCGAGAAAACACAAGCAUUACAUUCAAAACCACUCUGAGACCUUUUCGUUUCAGUUAGUAUGAAAGAUCGCUUACACGGUUGUUCAUUAUUUGUAUAUCUGUUCAUGGUUCAUAUAGUCUUGAUUAUAAUUGCAUGUUCUCUGAUUUCUUACGUACAGUAAGUAUUAUAUGCUAUUUCAGAUGUGUGUGAGUUUCACUUAAAGCUGACCUUUCUACUGGGUCUGGAGCCAAGCAAAAUGAAGCUCCAGAUGUUGACGAUCUGACAUGCAGAAAUAAGAGUGGGAAUGGUUAUUGAGUUUCUUGUUUUAUGUUGAAUUGUCUCUAUAUAAAGCACAACAGAGCAGAAUGCCACAACGAUGUCUUGUUCUCAGGUGUUUAGCUGGGUUAGUAUAGGAACGCUUACUUGAAAACUGAAGGCACAUUGACGACAGUCAGUCUCUGUUGUUGCAGUCAUGCACGUAAUGUCUGGUCUCGAUUUACACUUUCUACUUAGUGUGCUUUUUGCAACUAAAAACUUAAACUUGAUUAAAACACUGUUGCAAUAGUUUUGUACAACAAAAAUGGUUUGACAGUCAGAGAAAUGUGAAAUGAAAGAGAAAGAUGGCAAUAGAAAUGUGCUUUUAUAACAUCAUAAUACAAGUUUUGACUGUUGAAAUGGGCUUUUAGCUUCUUCCUCAAUGUUUCGAAAGUUGAAAAGAGGAUUGAUCUGAUGUUUCUUGUAAUAAAAAUGAAAUAU
Molecule: long non-coding RNA, 1857 nt
Organism: Carassius carassius (crucian carp)
Lineage: Eukaryota; Metazoa; Chordata; Actinopteri; Cypriniformes; Cyprinidae
Exons: 2
Source: RefSeq, a predicted model, not a curated record